Molecule: ribosomal RNA, 252 nt
Filed under: uncultured bacterium
Lineage: Bacteria
Description: partial 16S ribosomal RNA
Rfam family: Bacterial small subunit ribosomal RNA
Source: RNAcentral
UCUGAUGGCGAGUGGCGAACGGGUGAGUAACAUAUCGGAACGUGCCUAGUAAUGGGGAAUAACGCAGCGAAAGCUGUGCUAAUACCGCAUACGACCUACGGGUGAAAGCAGGGGAUCUUCGGACCUUGCGUUAUUAGAGCGGCCGAUAUCUGAUUAGGUGGUUGGUAGGGUAAAGGCCUACCAAGCCGACGAUCAGUAGCUGGUCUGAGAGGACGAUCAGCCACACUGGAACUGAGACACGGCCCAGACUCC